RNAcentral lists this ribosomal RNA (501 nucleotides) under uncultured bacterium. RNAcentral describes it as "bacterial SSU rRNA". It matches the Rfam family "Bacterial small subunit ribosomal RNA", at positions 28 to 526 of the family's 1533-position model. The record is from RNAcentral.
GACGAACGCUGGCGGCAUGCCUAACACAUGCAAGUCGAACGGGAUUAUCUCGACAGAAGCCUUCGGGUGGAAGAUGAGUGUAUCUAGUGGCGGACGGGUGAGUAACGCGUGAGUAACCUGCCUACAAGAGGGGGAUAACAACUGGAAACAGUUGCUAAUACCGCAUAAGCCUACAAGGUCGCAUGGCCAAGGAGGAAAAGGAGAAAUCCACUUGUAGAUGGACUCGCGUCCCAUUAGUUAGUUGGCGGGGUAACGGCCCACCAAGACAGCGAUGGGUAGCCGGACUGAGAGGUUGAACGGCCACACUGGGACUGAGACACGGCCCAGACUCCUACGGGAGGCAGCAGUGGGGAAUAUUGGGCAAUGGGGGGAACCCUGACGCAGCGACGCCGCGUGGGUGAAGAAGUAUUUCGGUAUGUAAAGCCCUAUCAGCAGGGAAGGUAAUGACGGUACCUGAGUAAGAAGCCCCGGCUAACUACGUGCCAGCCGCCGCAGUAAAAC